CCUACGGGUGGCAGCAGUGGGGGAUAUUGCACAAUGGGGGGAACCCUGAUGCAGCGACGCCGCGUGGGUGUAGAAGCGCCUAGGCGCGUAAAGCCCUGUCAGCAGGGAAGAAAAUGACGGUCCCUGAAGAAGAAGCCCCGGCUAACUACGUGCCAGCAGCCGCGGUACUACGGAGGGGGCAAGCGUUAUCCGGAUUUACUGGGUGUAAAGGGGGCGCAGACGGCGAUGCAAGCCAGGAGGGAAAGCCCGGGGGCCACGACCGGGACUGCUAUUGGAACUGCGUGGCUGGAGUGCAGGAGGGGCAGGCGGAAUGCGUGGUGUAGCGGUGAAAUGCAUAGAUAGCAGGAGGAACACCGGUGGCGAAGGCGGCCUGCUGGACUGCAACUGACGUUGAGGCCCGAAAGCGUGGGGAUCAAACAGGAUUAGAUACCCUAGUAGUC
RNAcentral lists this ribosomal RNA (440 nucleotides) under uncultured bacterium. RNAcentral's name for it is "partial 16S ribosomal RNA". It matches the Rfam family "Bacterial small subunit ribosomal RNA", at positions 338 to 795 of the family's 1533-position model. The record is from RNAcentral.